CCAUCCAACCAUCCUUGCAGGAGC
Molecule: non-coding RNA, 24 nt
Filed under: Arabidopsis thaliana (thale cress)
Lineage: Eukaryota; Viridiplantae; Streptophyta; Magnoliopsida; Brassicales; Brassicaceae
Source: RNAcentral